Molecule: ribosomal RNA, 460 nt
Filed under: uncultured beta proteobacterium
Lineage: Bacteria; Pseudomonadati; Pseudomonadota; Betaproteobacteria
Description: bacterial SSU rRNA
Rfam family: Bacterial small subunit ribosomal RNA
Source: RNAcentral
GGUGCUGCAUGGCUGUCGUCAGCUCGUGUCGUGAGAUGUUGGGUUAAGUCCCGCAACGAGCGCAACCCUUGUCAUUAAUUGCCAUCAUUUAGUUGGGCACUUUAAUGAGACUGCCGGUGACAAACCGGAGGAAGGUGGGGAUGACGUCAAGUCCUCAUGGCCCUUAUGGGUAGGGCUUCACACGUCAUACAAUGGUCGGUACAGAGGGUUGCCAAGCCGCGAGGUGGAGCCAAUCCCAGAAAGCCGAUCGUAGUCCGGAUCGCAGUCUGCAACUCGACUGCGUGAAGUCGGAAUCGCUAGUAAUCGCGGAUCAGCAUGUCGCGGUGAAUACGUUCCCGGGUCUUGUACACACCGCCCGUCACACCAUGGGAGUGGGUUCUACCAGAAGUAGUUAGCCUAACCGUAAGGAGGGCGAUUACCACGGUAGGAUUCAUGACUGGGGUGAAGUCGUAACAAGGUA